AUGUUCUCUAUUUGUUGGGUCCUCCGUGUCAUUAUCAACAAGGAACAUGUAUAUCCUUUCAAGUUCACUGAUGUGGUUACCACUACAACACACGUCCCUCCAAGGACCAAGGGUGGGCAUGAUCUUCUACAAGCAGGAUGGGCGAACGGAGACGGUGCACUUCGACAAGAUCACGGUGCAGCUCAAGAAACUCAGCUAUGGGCACUUCGACAAGAGCACUGCGACCCCGUGCUCAUCGCGCAGAAGGUCUGCGUUAGGGUAUACAUGGGUGUCACCACCAGCCAGCUCAACGAGCUCGCCGCCGAGACCGCUGCCACGCUCACCGCCUCCCAGCCUGACUAUGCCUCCCUCGCGACGAGGAUUGUUGUGUCCAACCUACCGCCAAGUAGAAAUAGUCUGUGUGGCGCUCGUAAAUAA
This 417-nucleotide ribosomal RNA is filed under the name Triticum aestivum (bread wheat). Its description in RNAcentral is "partial small subunit ribosomal RNA". The record is from RNAcentral. Lineage: Eukaryota; Viridiplantae; Streptophyta; Magnoliopsida; Poales; Poaceae.